ACACGUACCGUACGAACGUUAUUCGGAAUCACUGGGCUUAAAGAGUCCGUAGGCGGCUUGGUGGGUGAGGUGUGAAAUCCCACGGCUCAACCGUGGAACUGCGCUUCAAACCACUAAGCUAGAGGGAGAUAGAGGUGAGCGGAACAGAUGGUGGAGCGGUGAAAUGCGUUGAUAUCAUCUGGAACACCGGUGGCGAAGGCGGCUCACUGGGUCUCUUCUGACGCUGAGGGACGAAAGCUAGGGUAGCGAACGGGAUUAGAAACCCCUGUAGUCC
This 274-nucleotide ribosomal RNA is filed under the name uncultured bacterium. RNAcentral's name for it is "partial 16S ribosomal RNA". It matches the Rfam family "Bacterial small subunit ribosomal RNA", at positions 523 to 796 of the family's 1533-position model. The record is from RNAcentral.